GGAUGUGAGGGUGACCUGGCUGCAGGGUUGAUUUGGCCUAUCUGGCUGGCAAAGUGGCUGUCCCCUUCUUCCCUCACUGCUCCAUGUGUAUCCCUCCCAAAACUGCAUGCUUAGUUAAACAGAAUGACUUUCCAUGAUAGAGGAGGACCAUUAUCAGUCAAGGGUAUAGAAGUAGCUGCACUCCCUUGCUAGAACCUCCAAACAAGCUCUCAAUACCUGGAAAAUGUUAGGGACUUACUUAGAAUGGCAAACACCAUUCACCCUGCU
RNAcentral lists this small nuclear RNA (267 nucleotides) under Castor canadensis (American beaver). RNAcentral describes it as "7SK RNA (ENSCCNG00000002194.1)". It matches the Rfam family "7SK RNA". Rfam says of the family: 7SK was discovered as an abundant small nuclear RNA in the mid-70s but a possible function has only recently been suggested. Two independent studies have found that 7SK RNA binds the CDK9/cyclin T complex (known as elongation factor P-TEFb). The record is from Rfam by way of RNAcentral. Lineage: Eukaryota; Metazoa; Chordata; Mammalia; Rodentia; Castoridae.